UCACCAGUUCAGGGAUGGAAGGCUUACCU
RNAcentral lists this non-coding RNA (29 nucleotides) under Mus musculus (house mouse). The record is from RNAcentral. Lineage: Eukaryota; Metazoa; Chordata; Mammalia; Rodentia; Muridae.